GAUGAACGCUGGCGGCGUGCCUAAUACAUGCAAGUCGAGCGAACGGACGAGAAGCUUGCUUUUCUGAUGUUAGCGGCGGACGGGUGAGUAACACGUGGAUAACCUACCUAUAAGACUGGGAUAACUUCGGGAAACCGGAGCUAAUACCGGAUAAUAUUUUGAACCGCAUGGUUCAAAAGUGAAAGACGGUCUUGCUGUCACUUAUAGAUGGAUCCGCGCUGCAUUAGAUAGUUGGUAAGGUAACGGCUUACCAAGGCAACGAUGCAUAGCCGACCUGAAAGGGACGUCGACCAGACGGUCUGUGAGGAUCAGCCGACACACCGACAGUGGGCAGCGGUAGAGAAUCCUACGCGAUGGAGGAGAGCCUGACGGAGCGAAACCGCGGGAAUGAUGAAGGACUUCGGAUGGUAGAACGCUGUAAUUAGUAGAGAACAUAUAUGUAUGUAGCUGUGCAGAUCAUGACGGUACCUGAACAGGAAGCCACGGCUAACUACGUG
This 497-nucleotide ribosomal RNA is filed under the name uncultured bacterium. RNAcentral describes it as "partial 16S ribosomal RNA". It matches the Rfam family "Bacterial small subunit ribosomal RNA", at positions 28 to 507 of the family's 1533-position model. The record is from RNAcentral.